UGUGGUCUACACCCUUCUAGACCAGGUUUUGGCAUCUCCAGCAGAAGGACCUGAGAAGAUAGGUGCUGGAGGGAGCAGAGCUCCCAAAGGUGUGCUCACCUAGGACCUCAGAGGGUCUCUUCACUUGGAAAAAGGUUCUUUGCGGAUGUCACUAUUCAUGACCAAGUCACGGAGCCUGCGCCCACCAGGGUCUACAUUUAAGGACAGGACAGCUGCCAACAGGAGGCUCACGCUCAGCGAGGAAGCUGGGAAUGGCAAGGAGGUAUUCUCUAUGACCACUGUCACCUGUGGAGUGCCAAGAGGUUAAAGUGGAGACAAGAUGCUUUGGGGAGCAGGCUGGCAGAACACAUGCUCAGGGCUGACUCUUGCACCACCCCAAGGCCCAGCCUCAUCCUGCAUAGUCUGGGAACAGCUGAGGUUGGGCAUGGCGGGACCUGAUGUGUCUAACACUCUGCCCUGUUCACAGAGUCUGCAGGCAGAAAGGAAUUGAGAUGGCUCUACCACAGUAUUCCACUGAGACUUCUGGGAGAGUCUGGGCCUGGGGCUGCUUCUGCAUCUGCAUCUUUAGGAAAACAAUUUUUACUGCAGCUCAGCACAGCCAGGAGGUCUUGAUUCUGCUUCCUUCAUUUAUUCUUGAGUUCCAUCUGUAAAAUGGGAUGAUGUGGCUGAUGUAGCCUGCUAGGGCCCAGUUUGCAGCUGCCGUGGUGCUCUGUGGUUAAGGCGAGCAAUGUGGGGAAGCACGGGAUGAGCUUAAAGUCCGUGGAUGACAAGGCAGUUUCCAUCCCCCUGUCAUUUGGAUGGUGAACCUGGCUGCUGAUGCCCUCUGGGAUUGUGGACAAGAACAAUAGGAAAGAACUUGGGGCAAAGACUAUGUCUUCCUGGGUUAGACAGAGCUGAAUCAGCAAAUAUCCACAAAGCCAAACAUCUGUGCCUCUUCUUGGCUGUGGGGCACACAGUGGUGGCUUCUCACGGUUGUCUUCUCUGCCUGACAGAGGCAACAGAGUAGUGUCCAGGGGAUGAAAUGAAGAAAGACAACAAUGCGCAGAGCAGACUCAAGGCAGCAGUGAAAUGUCACACAGAGGCAUGACAGCAACUGACUUGCUUCACUGACUAAAGACGGAAAUGAAAUCAACACAGAGACUGGAAGAGACGCAGAGUAAAACAGAGACAAAGAGACAGACAACAAGAAAGACAGAGACAGACAGGCAGAGAGAUCGAGGAACACACACACACACACAGAGGUCAGUGGCAGGGGCAGGGAUGUGAAUGUGUCUUCACAGUGGAAAACAGCACUCACAGAGGUGGGUAAGGGUGACAGAGCUUACUUAGCCUAGCUGUGAUUUGGUCCAGCCUGUUUCAAAUAGGCAAACUGAGGCUGGUGAACCUGGUAUAUUUGUAACUGUUUGUUAAAGCUAAUGGGGACUGUGGCUGGCACUGGAAUCCAGUCCUGAAUCUUGGAGGCAAAACCAUGUCAACUUGUGAAAUAUUUUUUAAGUUAGCUCACAAGUGUUUACUGUUUGUCAGAGAAUUAAGACUGUUUUUAUAUUGCA
This is a long non-coding RNA of Mesocricetus auratus (golden hamster), 1550 nucleotides long. RefSeq lists it as uncharacterized. The transcript is spliced from 2 exons. The record is from RefSeq and is a predicted model, not a curated record. NCBI's taxonomy places the organism in Eukaryota, Metazoa, Chordata, Mammalia, Rodentia, Cricetidae.